GCGCCCGUAGCUCAGUGGAGAGAGCAGGCGGUUUCUACCCGCCGUGUCGGGGGUUCGAUUCCUCCCGGGCGCG
Molecule: transfer RNA, 73 nt
Filed under: Euzebyales bacterium
Lineage: Bacteria; Bacillati; Actinomycetota; Nitriliruptoria; Euzebyales
Description: tRNA-Arg
Rfam family: tRNA
About the family: Transfer RNA (tRNA) molecules are approximately 80 nucleotides in length. Their secondary structure includes four short double-helical elements and three loops (D, anti-codon, and T loops). Further hydrogen bonds mediate the characteristic L-shaped molecular structure. tRNAs have two regions of fundamental functional importance: the anti-codon, which is responsible for specific mRNA codon recognition, and the 3' end, to which the tRNAs corresponding amino acid is attached (by aminoacyl-tRNA synthetases). tRNAs cope with the degeneracy of the genetic code in two manners: having more than one tRNA (with a specific anti-codon) for a particular amino acid; and 'wobble' base-pairing, i.e. permitting non-standard base-pairing at the 3rd anti-codon position.
Source: RNAcentral